This 537-nucleotide ribosomal RNA is filed under the name Triticum aestivum (bread wheat). Its description in RNAcentral is "partial small subunit ribosomal RNA". The record is from RNAcentral. Lineage: Eukaryota; Viridiplantae; Streptophyta; Magnoliopsida; Poales; Poaceae.
AUGUGCGUCCCAAAAGACCAAGGAGGUAUGGGGUUCCGAGUUAUCCACUGUUUUAAUCUGGCAUUGUUAGCCAAACAAGCAUGGCAUCUACUUGAUAAUUCUGGGUCUUUAUAAGCUAGGAUUUUGAGACCUAAAUAUUUUCCGGACGGUGAUUUAAUGAGUGAAAAUCUAAAAAAGGGCCGCUCUUUUACUUGGCAAAGUAUCAUGGCGGGAGUGAACUGUCUGAAAAAUGGUUAUAUCUGGCGAGUUGGAAAUGGACAUAAUAUUGAUAUAUGGAGAGAUGCAUGGAUUCCUAACUGUGUGAAUAGGAAAAUUAUUACUCAUAGAAGGGGACAAAUACUAUCAAAAGUGUGUGAUCUUAUUGACCCAGUCACGAAUUCUUGGGAUGAAGAUUUGGUGAGACAAACGUUAUGGCCAAUUGAUGCUCAAAGGGUAUUAGCAAUUCCACUUCCCAUGGGUAAUAUGCCUGACUUUAUUGCUUGGAGCCAUACAAAAAAUGAUAAGUUCACUGUUCGAUCAGCUUAUUUGGAAGAAUGA